This 484-nucleotide ribosomal RNA is filed under the name uncultured bacterium. RNAcentral describes it as "partial 16S ribosomal RNA". It matches the Rfam family "Bacterial small subunit ribosomal RNA", at positions 29 to 523 of the family's 1533-position model. The record is from RNAcentral.
AGUGAACGCUGGCGGCGUGCUUAACACAUGCAAGUCGAACGAGAACGGAUUAUAGCUUGCUAUAAUUGUCAGCUAAGUGGCGCACGGGUGAGUAAUGUAUAGGUAAUAUGCCUCUUACUAAGGGAUAACAAAUGGAAACGUUUGCUAAUACCUUAUACUCCUUAUUAACAUAAGUUAAUAAGGGAAAGAUUUAUUGGUAAGAGAUUAGACUGUAUUGUAUCAGUUAGUUGGUGGGGUAAUGGCUUACCAAGACUAUGACACGUAACUGGUUUGAGAGGAUGAGCAGUCACACUGGAACUGAGACACGGUCCAGACUCCUACGGGAGGCAGCAGUGGGGAAUAUUGCACAAUGGACGAAAGUCUGAUGCAGCAACGCCGCGUGGAGGAUGACACAUUUCGGUGCGUAAACUCCUUUUAUAUGAGAAGAUAAUGACGGUAUUAUAUGAAUAAGCACCGGCUAACUCCGUGCCAGCAGCCGCAGUAA